GCUGAGCUGCUCGUGGAACGAACUCUGGUAUUGAUUGGUGCUUGCAUCAUGAUUUACAUUUGAGUGAGUGGCGAACUGGUGAGUAACACGUGGGAAACCUGCCCAGAAGCGGGGGAUAACACCUGGAAACAGAUGCUAAUACCGCAUAACAACUUGGACCGCAUGGUCCGAGCUUGAAAGAUGGCUUCGGCUAUCACUUUUGGAUGGUCCCGCGGCGUAUUAGCUAGAUGGUGGGGUAACGGCUCACCAUGGCAAUGAUACGUAGCCGACCUGAGAGGGUAAUCGGCCACAUUGGGACUGAGACACGGCCCAAACUCCUACGGGAGGCAGCAGUAGGGAAUCUUCCACAAUGGACGAAAGUCUGAUGGAGCAACGCCGCGUGAGUGAAGAAGGGUUUCGGCUCGUAAAACUCUGUUGUUAAAGAAGAACAUAUCUGAGAGUAACUGUUCAGGUAUUGACGGUAUUUAACCAGAAAGCCACGGCUAACUACGUGCCAGCAGCCGCGGUAAUACGUAGGUGGCAAGCGUUGUCCGGAUUUAUUGGGCGUAAAGCGAGCGCAGGCGGUUUUUUAAGUCUGAUGUGAAAGCCUUCGGCUCAACCGAAGAAGUGCAUCGGAAACUGGGAAACUUGAGUGCAGAAGAGGACAGUGGAACUCCAUGUGUAGCGGUGAAAUGCGUAGAUAUAUGGAAGAACACCAGUGGCGAAGGCGGCUGUCUGGUCUGUAACUGACGCUGAGGCUCGAAAGUAUGGGUAGCAAACAGGAUUAGAUACCCUGGUAGUCCAUACCGUAAACGAUGAAUGCUAAGUGUUGGAGGGUUUCCGCCCUUCAGUGCUGCAGCUAACGCAUUAAGCAUUCCGCCUGGGGAGUACGGCCGCAAGGCUGAAACUCAAAGGAAUUGACGGGGGCCCGCACAAGCGGUGGAGCAUGUGGUUUAAUUCGAAGCUACGCGAAGAACCUUACCAGGUCUUGACAUACUAUGCAAAUCUAAGAGAUUAGACGUUCCCUUCGGGGACAUGGAUACAGGUGGUGCAUGGUUGUCGUCAGCUCGUGUCGUGAGAUGUUGGGUUAAGUCCCGCAACGAGCGCAACCCUUAUUAUCAGUUGCCAGCAUUAAGUUGGGCACUCUGGUGAGACUGCCGGUGACAAACCGGAGGAAGGUGGGGAUGACGUCAAAUCAUCAUGCCCCUUAUGACCUGGGCUACACACGUGCUACAAUGGAUGGUACAACGAGUUGCGAACUCGCGAGAGUAAGCUAAUCUCUUAAAGCCAUUCUCAGUUCGGAUUGUAGGCUGCAACUCGCCUACAUGAAGUCGGAAUCGCUAGUAAUCGCGGAUCAGCAUGCCGCGGUGAAUACGUUCCCGGGCCUUGUACACACCGCCCGUCACACCAUGAGAGUUUGUAACACCCAAAGUCGGUGGGGUAACCUUUUAGGAACCAGCCGCCUAAGGUGGGACAGAUGAUUAGGGUGAGUCACCAAAGGGGGG
This 1484-nucleotide ribosomal RNA is filed under the name Lactiplantibacillus plantarum. RNAcentral describes it as "bacterial SSU rRNA". It matches the Rfam family "Bacterial small subunit ribosomal RNA". Lineage: Bacteria; Bacillati; Bacillota; Bacilli; Lactobacillales; Lactobacillaceae. The record is from RNAcentral.